RNAcentral lists this ribosomal RNA (542 nucleotides) under Gobiomorphus australis (striped gudgeon). RNAcentral describes it as "partial large subunit ribosomal RNA". It matches the Rfam family "Bacterial large subunit ribosomal RNA", at positions 1854 to 2596 of the family's 2925-position model. Lineage: Eukaryota; Metazoa; Chordata; Actinopteri; Gobiiformes; Eleotridae. The record is from RNAcentral.
CCCGCCUGCCCUGUGACCAUGUGUUUAACGGCCGCGGUAUUUUGACCGUGCGAAGGUAGCGCAAUCACUUGUCUUUUAAAUGAAGACCUGUAUGAAUGGCAUAACGAGGGCUAAGCUGUCUCCUUUUUCUAGUCAAUGAAAUUGAUCUGCCCGUGCAGAAGCGGGCAUAAAAACAUAAGACGAGAAGACCCUAUGGAGCUUUAGACACCAGAACAGCCUGUGUCAAAAACCCUUAAUAAAAAGACCAAACCAAACAGCUCCUGUUCCCCUGUCUUUGGUUGGGGCGACCGCGGGGUAACAAACAACCCCCACGUGGAAUGAGGUAAACCCCUCUAAAACCAGGGCCACAGCCCUAGUAAACAGAACAUCUGACCAACAAGAUCCGGCAAAGCCGAUCAACGGACCCAGUUACCCUAGGGAUAACAGCGCAAUCCUCUUUUAGAGCCCAUAUCGACAAGAGGGUUUACGACCUCGAUGUUGGAUCAGGAUAUCCUAAUGGUGCAGCCGCUAUUAAGGGUUCGUUUGUUCAACGAUUAAAAUCC